CCGACGUGAAAGACAUGGGUAGUGAGAUGUUGUCUGUUAAGAUUAGGCUUCGCCCUCCGCGGUGCAGGACCCUUCUUGGCGAGGGACGGACCACGAAGGACAGGUCGCAUCAUCUCACUACCUUGUCUUUGACUAAGGG
MicroRNA precursor from Tropilaelaps mercedesae, 139 nucleotides. It matches the Rfam family "mir-71 microRNA precursor family". Lineage: Eukaryota; Metazoa; Arthropoda; Arachnida; Mesostigmata; Laelapidae. The record is from Rfam.